Long non-coding RNA from Mus musculus (house mouse), 3670 nucleotides. RefSeq annotates it as predicted gene, 30140. The record is from RefSeq and is a predicted model, not a curated record. The transcript is spliced from 4 exons. NCBI's taxonomy places the organism in Eukaryota, Metazoa, Chordata, Mammalia, Rodentia, Muridae.
GCACGCGCCUGCGCUCGCUCGCCUCCUGCUUGCGCCCCCUGUGCCCCCAACAGGAGGAAGGUCUGGCGGCGGCUGCACCUGCUGUGCCCAAACUCACAGUCCAGUGGCCUUUCCCAGAGCCCCUGCGGUGCCAUGCACAAAUGGGGAUCUGUCCAGAGAGGCACAACCAGGCUCUAAAAGGAACCUUGGCUGGCCAGGAUGGUGAUUUGGGGCUGCAGCAGGCACACCCUCCUCUUGCAUGGUCUUAGUUGGCCCUAUUUGCCACCCCCCUUGCUUUCUAGCAUCCUGGGCUGGAAGAGUUCCCACCUACAGCAUCUGGUAGGCAGAGACCACAUCUCACCCAUGCAUAGGGAGGCCAUGUAUGGCCUAGGGUAAGAUCCGUCAGUCAAUUAUCUGUUUCCAGGUCCUGCUGUGAAAACCCCUCUCAAUACCCAACUGAGCAAUUACAAAGGAAGUGUGCCAGCCAAAGGGAAGAAAUGAAUAGUCACAGGGCACACUUACACAUUCCUUAGUUUUCUGCUCCCUCCUCACCUACCUCAUACUUCUCAUCUCUUCCAUCUUCUCAUAACCAGAAAGAAGUGACAUUGAAACCCUAGCAGAUGUGGGCGCUGGCAUUUCUAGUUCUUCCCCAUGCUGCAGAAAGGUGUUGGUCUUUAAUAGGGAGAGCUAAAUGUGACUGACAAGUUUGUAAACUUGAGUUAAGGAUGUCACAGCCAAGCUCUUCGAGGCCUCACAAACUGUAACCCUGUUGGUGUUUCUUCCCUAUCGUGUGGUAACUAACUUGUUGAGAGACCAUAUGAAUGGAUGUCCAUCAGCAUCUCUGCCAGCCCAGAGAGUCCUCACAACAUUCUCCCACCAAGUGACUCUACUUGGAUACUCGGAAGAAGAAGGAACUCGCUAACUCUUAAGGCCGUUCGUCGAUAGUGCAGUUGGGACCCUACUCACCAGCCGGUUGAAGGACUCCUCGGAGUGCAUCCUGGCUUGUCUUGAGCCUUUCUAAAUGAGAUUCUCAGAAUGGAACGGCGACCUGGUGCUGAGAAGAAUAUCACAAUGAAACAAAGUGCCACAAAGAGACAGCAUCCAUCGACGAUCAGUACCAAAGAGAAGAGGAGGCGUGGCCAACUUUCUACUAUACAGAACACUACCCAUAAUAAAAUUUGUCUCCAAUACAAAUGAAGUGGAACAGAAGAUACAGUAAAUAUGAUCUGAAAGUCUCUCAAGACAUUGUUUGGCAUCACCUACAUAAAAUAUCCUUGUAGCGAUUGGGGAGGGCCCAGAGAUGCCUGAAUGAUGAGCAGGGAAUCACUCAGAAAUUCAGACAUUGCUCGUCCUCACUCCGCGCAUUGGGCAUCAUUUGGUAUCAUUCAGGGAGAAGAGAGAGACUCACUUUCCCAAAGUGAGUACAUGAGAGACAGUCUUCUGGGAAAGCCAGGCGGAUGGGAACUCAACCAGCAGGGAUGCUUACAGCACUUAGCCGAACCCGAACUCGCAAAGUCUUCCUCUCUACUGUAUUCACAGGCAACGGGACUCUCUGCCUGGAACACCCAAAGAAAAUCAGCGCAUUGUUAGAAGGAAUUAGUUCAGCAAGACGUCCAAAUACAAGAUCAAUUUGUAAAAUCCAACCGUUUACAUCAGCAGCAAAUAAGCAGGAAGGAGACAGUGAGACACGUCUCAUACUCACAGCAUCUGGGGUUAACCUAACAACUUUUCAGAACUUUAUGGAGAAGCUCUUAAAACUCUAUUAAAGGACAUUAAAAAAAAAAAAAAAAAAAAAAAAGACUGAACAGAUGAAGAAAUAGGCCAUUGUCGGGAUGGCUUCACACUGUCAAAAUGUCAAGCUGAUCUCUAGACUCAGUAUUUGGUUAUAACUAAAAUUUUAAGGUGUUCAAUAAACAUAAAAUACGUAAGACAAAUAUAACUUUAAAUAGGACAAAUGUCUAAAAGCAAGACCAAAAGAAGGAGAUUUGCUAUACUAGAAAUUAUGUCUUUACUAUAUCAUAAUAAAAAUUAUUGGAUGCUGCUCUAGAAAUAAACAGAAAAAUGACCUAGAAGGUAGAGCCCUGGAUAAGCAUGUCCUUGGUAUACAUAAAAGUGAUACCACAGCCAAUGAUUUGAAAAAAUAUGAAUUAUAUAUAGGACAGAGUUAGUCAAACAGUCUUAUUUAAUAAUGGAAACAAAAAGGAAAAGAAAGUGAGGGAGAUGCUGGAAAUCUGCUGUAAGAAUGUAUUCCUAAUGCACACUGGGCUCCCGGGGGCACAAGUGAACUUGUUAUGCUGGAGGGCCUGGGGUCAGUGACAGAGAUGAUGGAGGAAAUGCCGUAGAACAACUUCAUCUGUUCCUAUCAGGAAAUAGGACUAACAAAGAACCAUACACAUUUGUAAAUCCUUACAAAAUUCCUCCACUGAGUGGCCACAGGUAACCUCCAAUAAAAAGAAGUGGAGAGACACAGCUCAGCAGUCAAAAGUGCAUUCUGCUCUUGCAGAAGACCUGAGUUUGGUCCCUGCAUCCAAGAAAGACCAGCUUACAGCCGCCUAUAACUCUAGCUCCAUCAGAUCCAAUGCCCUCUUCAGGCCUCGGUGGGUACUGCACCAUGCAUAUACCCAAAUGCAGAUACACAUUUCAAGAUACUUUUUUAAAAAGAAAAAUGAAAAGAUGUGACAAACUGAAAGAAGUUUGUGACAUGUAUAAACAUAGCUAGGAAUUAGUACCUAAAGCAACAAAAAUCAGUCGAAAAACUAACAAAAAAAUGAGGAAAGGGUAACAGUAGACAGUUGACUGGGGAUGUGUCUUGGUUUCCUUCCCUGUUGCUGUGACAAAAUACUUUGACAAACACAACUUAAGAGGGAAAGGAGUUAUUUUAGCUCACAAUUCAAAGAUCCAUCAUCCCAGGGAAGUCAAGGCAACAGAGCUUGAAGCAGCUGGUCACAUGACAUCCCACUCAAGAAGUAAGAGAUGAAUGCUGACACUAGCUCCCUUUCUCUAUUUUAGAAUCUACUGCCUGGAGAAUGGCUCUGCCCACAGGUAGGUAGGCUCUCCCACAUCAGUUAGCAUCUUCAAGAUAGGCAUGCCCUGUAGGCAUCUUGUAGGCAUGCCCAGAGACCUUGCCAAGCAAUUCGAGAUGCUAUAGGAUAGAAAAUUAACAUGGUGGCUGAGAAAAGGCCUCCUUAAGAUUGGGCUGUAGGUAAGCCUGAAGAGCAUUUUUUUUAUUAUUGAUAAUUUAUGUGGGAGGGGCCCAGACCACCAUGGUCAGUUCCACCCCUUGGCUGGUGGCCCUGGGUUCUAUAAGAAAGCAGGCUGAGCCAAUGAUGAAGUGCAAGCCAGAAAGCAGCAUCCCUCCACAGCUUCUGCAUCAGCUCCUGCCUCCUGGUUCCUGCCCUGCUUAAGUUCCUGCCCUCACUGCUUUUGAUGAUGAACUGUGAUAUGGAACUGGGAGGGAAAUUAACCCUUGCCUCCCCAAGUUAUCUUUCAACCUGGUACCAUCACAGCAACAAUAACCCCAACAAAGACACACAGGCUAUCUAGACUGUCCAAAGAAAAGCCCAGAAUGACAAGCAGUGGGAUGGGCAAGAAAUAAAAACAAUCACAAAAUGUCCAGGAAGUGGGUGGACUUAGAAUGUAUAAGUCACCCUGUCUCAGAAAGAAAGAAAAAAUAAACCACAUGUUCUCUCUC